GGGCGGGUGGCGGAAUCGGCAGACGCGCACGGCUUAGGACCGUGUGCCGCAAGGCUUGGGGGUUCGACUCCCCCCCCGCCCA
Molecule: transfer RNA, 82 nt
Filed under: Elusimicrobiota bacterium
Lineage: Bacteria; Pseudomonadati; Elusimicrobiota
Description: Elusimicrobia bacterium (groundwater metagenome) tRNA-Leu
Rfam family: tRNA
About the family: Transfer RNA (tRNA) molecules are approximately 80 nucleotides in length. Their secondary structure includes four short double-helical elements and three loops (D, anti-codon, and T loops).
Source: RNAcentral